Cervus elaphus (red deer) is the source of this 564-nucleotide long non-coding RNA. RefSeq lists it as uncharacterized. The record is from RefSeq and is a predicted model, not a curated record. The transcript is spliced from 2 exons. NCBI's taxonomy places the organism in Eukaryota, Metazoa, Chordata, Mammalia, Artiodactyla, Cervidae.
GCUGAGAAAGAUUGAAGGCAGGAGGAGAAGGGGAUGACAGAGGACGAGAUGAAUACAUUCCUAGUUUGCAAAACCACUGAUGGAUAAGUCAACUAUCAAGCAAUAACCAGAAACAAACCCCACAUACAUUUGUAAAACAAGGAAUGUGCUUGUAUAAAUAACAAGUUUCUAUUAUAUAGCCCAGGAAACUAUAUUCUAUACCUUGUAAUAACCUAUGAUGGAAAAGAAUCUGAAAAAAAGUAUAUAUAACUGAGUUACUUUGCUGUACACCAGAAACGAAUACAACAUUGUAAAUCAACCUUACUUUAGCUUUUUAAAAUGUGCUUCUAAAUAACAUAUGGAUUAAAAAAGAGAUCUAUUGAAAACUAGACCAUGUUUCAUAUUGAAUAAUCAUGAAAAUACUAUAUACCAAAACUCAUGGGUUGCUACCAAAAUGUAACUAAAAGGAACACUGACAGCUUUAAGAAAAGACUAAGCAAUGAACAUUAAUGAGCUAGAAAGAAUCUAGCUCAAGGAGUUAGCAAAAAUGAAUGAAUCAAUGAAUAAAUGAGUAAAUGAAUGAAA